AGUUUGCCGUUCACCCGGAGCGCUCGGGACUUGACGAUAGUGGUGACGGCGGCAACAUGUCUGUGGCUUUCGCAGCCCCGAGGCAGCGAGGCAAGGGGGAGAUCACUCCCGCUGCGAUUCAGAAGAUGUUGGAUGACAAUAACCAUCUUAUUCAGUGUAUAAUGGACUCUCAGAAUAAAGGAAAGACCUCAGAGUGUUCUCAGUAUCAGCAGAUGUUGCACACAAACUUGGUAUACCUUGCUACAAUAGCAGAUUCUAAUCAAAAUAUGCAGUCUCUUUUACCAGCAGUGUGAUUCAAGUAAGGUGAAGGAACACAUGCUUAGAGCUGUGGAACAUUUUGAAGAUUAGCAGCCACCCACACAGAAUAUGCCUAUGGGUCCUGGAGGGAUGAAUCAGAGCGGCCCUCCCCCUCCUCCACGCUCUCACAACAUGCCUUCGGAUGGAAUGGUAGGUGGGGGUCCUCCUGCACCACACAUGCAGAACCAGAUGAACGGCCAGAUGCCUGGGCCUAACCAUAUGCCUAUGCAGGGACCUGGACCCAAUCAACUCAAUAUGACAAACAGUUCCAUGAAUAUGCCUUCAAGUAGCCAUGGAUCCAUGGGAGGUUAUAACCAUUCUGUGCCAUCAUCACAGAGCAUGCCAGUACAGAAUCAGAUGACAAUGAGUCAGGGACAACCAAUGGGAAACUAUGGUCCCAGACCAAAUAUGAAUAUGCAGCCAAACCAAGGUCCAAUGAUGCAUCAGCAGCCUCCUUCUCAGCAAUACAAUAUGCCA
Molecule: small RNA, 774 nt
Filed under: Pongo abelii (Sumatran orangutan)
Lineage: Eukaryota; Metazoa; Chordata; Mammalia; Primates; Hominidae
Description: processed transcript
Source: RNAcentral